UACGUAGGGGGCAAGCGUUGUCCGGAUUUAUUGGGCGUAAAGAGCGUGUAGGCGGCCAAGCAGGUCCGCUGUGAAAACUCGAGGCUCAACCUCGAGAGGUCGGUGGAAACCGUUUGGCUAGAGUCCGGAAGAGGAGAGUGGAAUUCCCGGUGUAGCGGUGAAAUGCGCAGAUAUCAGGAGGAACACCGGUGGCGAAGGCGGGUCUCUGGGCAGUAACUGACGCUGAGAAGCGAAAGCGUGGGGAGCGAACAGG
Molecule: ribosomal RNA, 253 nt
Filed under: uncultured bacterium
Lineage: Bacteria
Description: partial 16S ribosomal RNA
Rfam family: Bacterial small subunit ribosomal RNA
Source: RNAcentral